UACAGAGGGGGCAAGCGUUGUUCGGAAUUACUGGGCGUAAAGGGCGCGUAGGCGGCCCGCUAAGUCGAACGUGGAAUCCCCAGGCUCAACCUGGGAACUGCGUCCGAUACUGGCAGGCUUGAAUCCUGGAGAGGGAUGUGGAAUUCCAGGUGUAGCGGUGAAAUGCGUAGAUAUCUGGAGGAACACCGGUGGCGAAGGCGGCAUCCUGGACCGGUAUUGACGCUGAGGCGCGAAAGCGUGGGGAGCAAACAGG
Molecule: ribosomal RNA, 253 nt
Filed under: uncultured bacterium
Lineage: Bacteria
Description: partial 16S ribosomal RNA
Rfam family: Bacterial small subunit ribosomal RNA
Source: RNAcentral